RNAcentral lists this ribosomal RNA (433 nucleotides) under uncultured bacterium. RNAcentral describes it as "partial 16S ribosomal RNA". It matches the Rfam family "Bacterial small subunit ribosomal RNA", at positions 29 to 507 of the family's 1533-position model. The record is from RNAcentral.
AACGAACGCUGGCGGCAUGCCUAACACAUGCAAGUCGAACGAGACCUUCGGGUCUAGUGGCGCACGGGUGCGUAACGCGUGGGAACCUGCCCUUAGGUUCGGAAUAACUCCCCGAAAGGGGUGCUAAUACCGGAUAAUGUCUUCGGACCAAAGAUUUAUCGCCUUUGGAUGGGCCCGCGUUGGAUUAGCUAGUUGGUAGGGUAAAAGCCUACCAAGGCGACGAUCCAUAGCUGGUCUGAGCGGAUGAUAAGCCACACUGGAACUGAGACACGGCCCAGACUCCUACGGGAAGAAGCAGUGGGGAAUAUUGGACAAUGGGCGAAAGCCUGAUCCAGCGAUGCCGCGUGAAUGAUGAAGGCCUUAGGGUUGUAAAGCUCUUUUACCCGGGAUGAUAAUGACAGUACCGGGAGAAUAAGCUCCGGCUAACUCCGUG